CAGCCGCCGCGGGAAUACAGAGGGUGCGAGCGUUAAUCGGAUUUACUGGGCGUAAAGCGUGCGUAGGCGGCUUUUUAAGUCGGAUGUGAAAUCCCUGAGCUUAACUUAGGAAUUGCAUUCGAUACUGGGAAGCUAGAGUAUGGGAGAGGAUGGUAGAAUUCCAGGUGUAGCGGUGAAAUGCGUAGAGAUCUGGAGGAAUACCGAUGGCGAAGGCAGCCAUCUGGCCUAAUACUGACGCUAAGGUACGAAAGCAUGGGGAGCAAACAGGAUUAGAUACCCCUGUAGUCCCUGUCUCUUAUAC
RNAcentral lists this ribosomal RNA (301 nucleotides) under uncultured bacterium. Its description in RNAcentral is "partial 16S ribosomal RNA". It matches the Rfam family "Bacterial small subunit ribosomal RNA", at positions 509 to 807 of the family's 1533-position model. The record is from RNAcentral.